CCUUGGUCAGUACGUGCCCAGGAACCAUGUUCAAUAUCAUCUUGGAUCAAGUGCACUCAGGAUGAUAAAUGUGCUGUGAAACCAACUCCACAGCCUGAAUGUCCACAGUCAGACUGGAAAACCUUGGUGAUAGCCCUGGUGUGAGCCUGCCCUUGCUGCUGGGCCCUUCAUGAGCGCAGAGGCCAUGGCAGAGUACAGGGAGGCCAUGAGCCCCACAUCACUUUCCUUUGAUCUUUUUGCAGGGGGGAGUCUCACCUUCUUCCUCGGCUUCCCGAGUGCAACCUGGCCUGCUGCAGUGGGUGAAGUUUUGGUAGGUGAGUGUCAGAGUGAGCCGACCCAGGCCACAUCCUGGGAGUGGAGGCACAGUCACCCGGGGCAGGGCCAGGAUCUUGGUAUAUCCUCAGAUCUCAGUGGGCAGCGACAUGAAGUCAGGUAUGCUCUGGGUGCAUGCUCUAAAGGUGUUAAGGAAGAGGGGACCUCAUGGUGGGGUGUGUAGAAAGACCCAUAAUAAAGUGAUCUAGGGCUGGGUGCAGUGGCUCAUGCCUGUACUCUCUGUGCUUUGGGAGGCUGGGGUGGGAGGAUCACUUGAGUCUGGGAGUUUGAGACCAGACUGGGCAAUAUAGCAAGACCCCAUCUCUAAAAGAACAAAACAAACCAAACCAAAACAAACCAAACCAAACCAAACCAAAACAAACCAUUCCAGCCUGGGAAACAUGGCAAAACCCCGUCUACUAAAAAUACAAAAAAUUAGCCAGGUGAGGUGGUGCAUGAUUGUAAACCCAGCUACUCUGGAGGCUGAGGUG
Molecule: small RNA, 803 nt
Filed under: Pan troglodytes (chimpanzee)
Lineage: Eukaryota; Metazoa; Chordata; Mammalia; Primates; Hominidae
Description: retained intron
Source: RNAcentral